UGGGGAAUAUUGCGCAAUGGGGGAAACCCUGACGCAGCGACGCCGCGUGAGCGAUGAAGGCCUUAGGGUUGUAAAGCUCUGUUUUAAGGGACGAAUGUUACGGGGAGUAAUAUACCCUGUAAAUGACGGUACCUUAAGAGGAAGCCCCGGCUAACUACGUGCCAGCAGCCGCGGUAAGACGUAGGGGGCGAGCGUUGUCCGGAAUUACUGGGCGUAAAGAGCACGUAGGCGGGAACUUAAGUCAGGUGUGAAGGACCGGGGCUCAACCUCGGGGGUGCACUUGAAACUGGGUUGCUUGAGGGCAGGAGAGGAAAGUAGAAUUCCUGGUGUAGCGGUGAAAUGCGUAGAAAUCAGGAGGAAUACCAGUGGCGAAGGCGACUUUCUGGACUGACCCUGAGGCUGAGGUGCGAAAGCGUGGGUAGCAAACAG
RNAcentral lists this ribosomal RNA (429 nucleotides) under uncultured bacterium. Its description in RNAcentral is "bacterial SSU rRNA". It matches the Rfam family "Bacterial small subunit ribosomal RNA", at positions 355 to 775 of the family's 1533-position model. The record is from RNAcentral.